Non-coding RNA from Pristionchus pacificus, 61 nucleotides. The record is from Rfam. NCBI's taxonomy places the organism in Eukaryota, Metazoa, Nematoda, Chromadorea, Rhabditida, Neodiplogasteridae.
UCUUCAAUUCACGUGCUCUCUCACCGGUCAGAGAGGCGAGAGAGUGUGCGAAAUUAAGAGA